RNAcentral lists this ribosomal RNA (253 nucleotides) under uncultured bacterium. RNAcentral describes it as "partial 16S ribosomal RNA". It matches the Rfam family "Bacterial small subunit ribosomal RNA", at positions 524 to 776 of the family's 1533-position model. The record is from RNAcentral.
UACGUAGGGUGCAAGCGUUGUCCGGAAUUAUUGGGCGUAAAGAGCUCGUAGGCGGUCUGUCGCGUCGGCUGUGAAAUCCCGGGGCUCAACCCCGGGCCUGCAGUCGAUACGGGCAGACUAGAGUGCGGUAGGGGAGACUGGAAUUCCUGGUGUAGCGGUGAAAUGCGCAGAUAUCAGGAGGAACACCAAUGGCGAAGGCAGCACUCUGGGACGUGACUGACGCUGAGACGCGAAAGCGUGGGGAGCGAACAGG